AUUGAACGCUGGCGGAAUGCUUUACACAUGCAAGUCGAACGGCAGCACGGACUUCGGUCUGGUGGCGAGUGGCGAACGGGUGAGUAAUGUAUCGGAACGUGCCCAGUCGUGGGGGAUAACGUAGUGAAAAUUACGCUAAUACCGCAUACGAUCUAUGGAUGAAAGCGGGGGAUCGCAAGACCUCUCGCGAUUGGAGCGGCCGAUAUCAGAUUAGGUAGUUGGUGGGGUAAAGGCCCACCAAGCCAACGACCUGUAGCUGGUCUGAGAGGACGACCAGCCACACUGGAACUGAGACACGGUCCAGACUCCUACGGGAGGCAGCAGUGGGGAAUUUUGGACAAUGGGCGAAAGCCUGAUCCAGCCAUUCCGCGUGCAGGAUGAAGGCCCUCGGGUUGUAAACUGCUUUUGUACAGAACGAAAAGGUUUCUACUAAUACUAGGAGCUCAUGACGGUACUGUAAGAAUAAGCACCGGCUAACUACGUGCCAGCAGCCGCCGUAA
This 500-nucleotide ribosomal RNA is filed under the name uncultured bacterium. RNAcentral's name for it is "partial 16S ribosomal RNA". It matches the Rfam family "Bacterial small subunit ribosomal RNA", at positions 30 to 523 of the family's 1533-position model. The record is from RNAcentral.